Molecule: non-coding RNA, 46 nt
Organism: Schistosoma curassoni
Lineage: Eukaryota; Metazoa; Platyhelminthes; Trematoda; Strigeidida; Schistosomatidae
Source: Rfam
GCAUUGUUGAAGAGUCCCACAAUUGGACGAAACGGCUGUCUAGUGC